UACGGAGGGUGCAAGCGUUAUCCGGAUUCACUGGGUUUAAAGGGUGCGUAGGUGGGCAGGUAAGUCAGUGGUGAAAUCUCUGGGCUCAACUCAGAAACUGCCAUUGAUACUAUUUGUCUUGAAUACCGUGGAGGUCAGCGGAAUAUGUCAUGUAGCGGUGAAAUGCUUAGAUAUGACAUAGAACACCAAUUGCGAAGGCAGCUGGCUACACGAAUAUUGACACUGAUGCACGAAAGCGUGGGGAUCAAACAGG
This 253-nucleotide ribosomal RNA is filed under the name uncultured bacterium. RNAcentral describes it as "partial 16S ribosomal RNA". It matches the Rfam family "Bacterial small subunit ribosomal RNA", at positions 524 to 776 of the family's 1533-position model. The record is from RNAcentral.